GAUGAAGAACGUAGCGAAAUGCGAUACGUAAUGUGAAUUGCAGAAUUCAGUGAAUCAUCGAAUCUUUGAACGCAUAUUGCGCUCUUUGGUAUUCCGAAGAGCAUGCUUGUUUGAGUAUCAGUAAACACCUCAAAGUCUUUUUUUCUUGAAGAAAAAGACCUUGGACUUGAGCAAUCCCAACUCUUCUUUCAGAAGAGGCGGGUUGCUUGAAAUGCAGGUGCAGCUGGACAUUCUCCUGAGCUAAAAGCAUAUUCAUUUAGUCCCGUCAAACGGAUUAUUACUUUUGCUGCAGCUAACAUAAAGGGAGUUUGACCAUUUUGGCUGACUGAUGCAGGAAUUUCACAAGAGUCUUCAAAACGCUCUUGUUAAACUCGAUCUCAAAUCAAGUAAGACUACCCGCUGAACUUAAGAAUAUCAAUAAUCGGAGGA
This 429-nucleotide unclassified non-coding RNA is filed under the name soil metagenome. RNAcentral's name for it is "partial contains 5.8S ribosomal RNA, internal transcribed spacer 2, and large subunit ribosomal RNA". The stretch from base 1 to 120 matches the Rfam family "5.8S ribosomal RNA", at positions 35 to 154 of the family's 154-position model. The record is from RNAcentral.